RNAcentral lists this ribosomal RNA (347 nucleotides) under Pseudo-nitzschia galaxiae. RNAcentral's name for it is "LSU rRNA". It matches the Rfam family "Eukaryotic large subunit ribosomal RNA", at positions 185 to 544 of the family's 3401-position model. The record is from RNAcentral. Lineage: Eukaryota; Bacillariophyta; Bacillariophyceae; Bacillariales; Bacillariaceae.
GUUCCUUGGAAAAGGACAGCUGAGAGGGUGACACUCCCGUCCGCCUGGUAGAGUGAGUCUUUGUCAACGAGUCGAGUUGUUUGGGAUUGCAGCUCUAAUUUGGUGGUAAAUUCCAUCUAAAGCCAAAUAUUGGUGGGAGACCGAUAGCGUACAAGUACCGUGAGGGAAAGAUGCAAAGAACUUUGAAAAGAGAGUUAAAGAGUACCUGAAAUUGCUGAAACGGAAGCGAAGGAAACCAGUGUUUGUUGGUUCAUAUUUCCCUUGUCACUUGUGAUGUGGGCGCUGUGAGCUUGCGUGGGUUUGCUUUGGUUGAUUCCUUUGGAAGAGCGCAGUCAGAGUUGAUGUCU